UACCAGCACCCCGAGUGGUCGGGACGUUUAUUGGGCCUAAAGCAUCCGUAGCCGGUUCUACGAGUCUUCCGUUAAAUCCAACUGCUUAACAGGUGGGCUGCGGAAGAUAUCUAUAGAGCUAGGAGGCGGGAGAGGCAAGCGGUACUCGAUGGGUAGGGGUAAAAUCCGUUGAUCCAUUGAAGACCACCAGUGGCGAAGGCGGCUUGCCAGAACGCGCUCGACGGUGAGGGAUGAAAGCUGGGGGAGCAAACCGG
This 254-nucleotide ribosomal RNA is filed under the name uncultured bacterium. RNAcentral's name for it is "partial 16S ribosomal RNA". It matches the Rfam family "Archaeal small subunit ribosomal RNA", at positions 474 to 727 of the family's 1478-position model. The record is from RNAcentral.